Molecule: long non-coding RNA, 2970 nt
Organism: Homo sapiens (human)
Lineage: Eukaryota; Metazoa; Chordata; Mammalia; Primates; Hominidae
Product: MIR3976 host gene
Exons: 12
Source: RefSeq, marked validated
AACUCUCUCUCUUUCUGAUUGAGUGUAAGCUGCUAUAUGAAGGGAUCCACAAGACGAAUAAUUAAGGGGGACCUCUGAUCAACAGCCAGCAAGGAACUGAAUCCCUCAGACCCACAACUCACAAGAAACUGAAGCUGAAGCAGAUUCUUCCUCAGUCAAGCUUCAGGACCUGCUUUGCAGAAAGGAUCUCAUUGAGAAUAGCAAAAGGAAGUUGGGAACCAUUACAGUGCCCAGCUGUAUUGGUAGAGGAGACCAACCACACCCUCCACAGCACAGCACCUGGAGAGGAACUGCUGCCAUGACCAUAGAGGACACCCUCUGGAUACAAUGCCAGACUUGAUGUGGGACUGACCAACCUAUGGACCCCAGGCACCACCACCCAGACCUGCUCAGCACCUGAAACAUUCACAGCCGUGGAGAGAGAACUGUUCACUGCUACCAUCCACACUUCUGGGCCCCUUCAGCAGCAGGGUGACAAGGAAGAGGGAAAUCGACUUGGAAAAGAGGGGACCUCUGACCCAAGAGUUCGGUCAAUGCAUAUGUUGGCAGCCAGCUGCACAUCGCACCAAAUAUGAACUUCAAAUAGAAGAAAGCCUCAUUUGGAAGAAAGCUCAUGCACAGACUGUAAAUAUUUCAGAGCAGAUUGUGUCUCUGUAGAUUAACACCAUGUUGCUCCUCCUCGGACACAGGCUGAUCCUAUCUCAGCAUUCUUGGAAGGCUAAGAGAGAGUAAUAGAAGAACAAAACUGUGUCUGAAAAUGUAGGGCUGCAUGGUUGCUACACCUAUUGACACAAGUGAGGGAUGGACAUAAAAAUGCAAAUAAUUAAAAAGGCCUUUUUGACAGGAAAGAGUGGCUCCUACAGCCAAGCCGGAUACAGUGGCUUGCACCUGUGGUCUCAGCGACUUGGGCGACUGAAGCAAGAAGAUCACUUGAGCCUAGGAGUUCGAGGCUACAGCAAGCUAUGACCGUGCCACUGCACUCCAGCCUGGGCGUGACAGACCAGCUCUUCUUCUGAAGGAUGACCACCUGGAAUAAGAGCAGCCCUAGGCCCCCCACCUCACUCCAGGUGGCAGAUCCACAGAGAUGGUAGCGAUACAGAAGCACAGCUUCCGAUGGCUUCCCCGUGUCUUCAGUUUGCAGCCUUAUUUCGGUGCUUGGACGUGCUUAACUUCUCAGGAUUAUAUUCUGCUUUGGAGUGCAAGGAGAAAGUCACAGUCUAGUUUUAUGAAGACCAAACUAGAGAAAAUCGAGUUAUCUUAAAGUGUAUGACAUCUCCACAAAUGAAUGUUUAUGGCUUUACACUUGGAGUGUUCUUGGAACACUCUUCAUAGCAAAUCCUCCCUCAGAAGACCCCCACCUGGCAUCAGAACAAACGUCUACCUAAUCUUCCAAACUCUGUGUAAAUCCUGGAUCCACCAUUUACCAGCUGUGUAACCCUGGACAACAAUUCCAUCUUUCUGACCUCAGUGUCUUUCUCUGCAAAACAGCGGUAAGAAUGAUCCUACUUCAAUAGAGUUGCUGUGAGGAUUCACUGAGAUCAUGUGUACCAAGCUCCUACAAUAGUACUGAACCCACAGCCAUGGAUCAAGACCAUUAACUUAUAAUCAGUGAUAGCCAAGAGGAUGGGAAGAGAAUAUUAAGCCUGGUGCUCUGCAAAUUAAUACUUGCAGGUUGGGAAGCCAGAUAUCCACAUUAUCUCACAUCACAUCACUGAGCUCUGUGGCCCAGUUCUGACUACAUGUUAGAAGCAGAAGUCUGCAGGGGAUGGCUUCUGAGAAAACUUGUAUUUAUUAUUUAAAUUUAACCUUCUAGCCUGGGAAUAAAUUCCAGCUUGCUUAGAACAAUACAGCACAGAAGAGAGCCUGAGUUCCUGGUGCAUCCCUGUGCCAGUGUCUCAAUCCUGCCCCACCGAUUUCCAAUUUCUUAUUAUGUGAAAAGCAACCCUCCCUUCUUUGAUUAAGUCAUUAUUGAUAGGGUUUUUUUGGUGACUUGCAUCCAAAUGCAUUCCUUAACUCAAACAAAAUAGAAGGGGAAUUCCACAUUCACACUGUUGCAUCAGACAAGCUCUGGCUUCUCAGAACUUUAGUUUUCCAUUUACUAGAGCUCAGAAUCAAAGAGACAGUAAAGAAACCCAUUUAAAAAUUGCUUGGCAUAUAUAUCUUGGGUGAUGGGACUUCAUGGGUAAUAUUUUUAAAAUUUCUUUGUGUAUUUUUCUUUUAUUGUCAAACGUUAUUAAAGAGACCAUAGAUACCUUUUGUAAUUAUAAUAAAAAACAAAAUGUUACUAAGAACAGUGAGAACUCUUAAGCUAACUACAAGAUAAUUAAUAUAUAACUGCAAAAUAUAAAAUACCAAAGCCAUUUUCAAAUAAAGAAACAGAGCCACAUGAAACUUUGCAGUUUAGCCAAAGUCAUUUCAGGAUUCUGAAGCUGGGGAGGAAGCAAGGCUUACUUAGCCCGUGGCUAGAAUUCACUUUUGAAAACUCCAUUUUUGUCCAUUCCCUCUUAUCACUACUUGCUUGCAAGUUAGGAAACAAAUUAGAACAAAAGCAUUGUUUGUCGUCAGUGGUCAAUGUUCAUUGCUUUACCAGAGGCUCGGGAUUAGAAGAUUCUCAGAACCAGUUAGCUCCUGAUACAAUCGGGCCUUGAUAUGGUUUGGAUUUGUGUCCCCACCCAAAUCUCAUGUCGAAUUAGAGGAGGGGCCUGGUGGGAGGUGAUUGGAUCAUGGGGGCAGAUUUCCCUCUUGCUGUUCUCAUGAUAGUGACUGAGUUCUCAAAGAUCUUAGGGUUUAAAACUUUUGUGGCACUUCCAUCUUCGCUCUCUCUUCCUCUCUCAUGCUGCCAUGUGAAGAAGGUGCCUGCUUCCCCUUUGCUUUCUGCCAUGAUUGUACGUUUCCUGAGGCCUCCCAGUUGUGCUUCCUGAUAAGCCUAUGGAACUGUGAGUCAAUUAAAUCUCUUUUCUAUAUAAAUAA